Molecule: ribosomal RNA, 659 nt
Filed under: Trichoderma harzianum
Lineage: Eukaryota; Fungi; Ascomycota; Sordariomycetes; Hypocreales; Hypocreaceae
Description: eukaryotic LSU rRNA
Rfam family: 5.8S ribosomal RNA (bases 274-438)
Source: RNAcentral
UUCUUGGUCAUUUAGAGGAAGUAAAAGUCGUAACAAGGUCUCCGUUGGUGAACCAGCGGAAGGGAUCWUUACCGAGUUUACAACUCCCAAACCCAAUAGUGAAACGUUACCAAACUGUUGCCUCGGCGGGAUCUCUGCCCCGGGUGCGUCGCAGCCCCGGACCAAGGCGCCCGCCGGAGGACCAACCAAAACUCUUUUUGUAUACCCCCUCGCGGGUUUUUUAUAAUCUGAGCCUUCUCGGCGCCUCUCGUAGGCGUUUCGAAAAUGAAUCAAAACUUUCCAACAACGGGAUCUCUUGGUUCUGGCCAUCGAUGGAAGAACGCCAGCGAAAUGCGAUAAGUUAAUGUGAAUUGCCAGAAUUCCAGUGAAUCAUCGAAUCUUUGGAACGCACAUUGGCGCCCGCCAGUAUUCUGGCGGGCAUGCCUGUCCCGAGCGUCAUUUCAACCCUCGAACCCCUCCGGGGGGUCGGCGUUGGGGAWUCGGCCCUCCCUUAGCGGGUGGCCGUCUCCGAAAUACAGUGGCGGUCUCGCCGCAGCCUCUCCUGCGCAGUAGUUUGCACUACUCGCAUCGGGAGCGCGGCGCGUCCACAGCCGUUAAACACCCAAUUCUGAAAUGUUGACCUCGGAUCAGGUAGGAAUACCCGCUGAACUUAACUAUAU